Molecule: ribosomal RNA, 264 nt
Filed under: uncultured bacterium
Lineage: Bacteria
Description: partial 16S ribosomal RNA
Rfam family: Bacterial small subunit ribosomal RNA
Source: RNAcentral
UUCGAGUGGCGGACGGGUGAGUAACGCGUGGGUAACCUGCCUUACACAGGGGGAUAACACCUGGAAACAGGUGCUAAUACCGCAUAAGCGCACAGGGCCGCAUGGCCCGGUGUGAAAAACUCCGGUGGUGUAAGAUGGACCCGCGUCUGAUUAGCUUGUUGGCGGGGUAGGGGCCCGCCAAGGCGACGAUCAGUAGCCGGCCUGAGAGGGUGGACGGCCACAUUGGGACUGAGACACGGCCCAAACUCCUACGGAAGGCAGCAG